Molecule: ribosomal RNA, 492 nt
Filed under: uncultured bacterium
Lineage: Bacteria
Description: partial 16S ribosomal RNA
Rfam family: Bacterial small subunit ribosomal RNA
Source: RNAcentral
AGUGAACGCUGGCGGUAGGCCUAGCACAUGCAAGUCGAACGGCAGCACAGUAAGAGCUUGCUCUUACGGGUGGCGAGUGGCGGACGUGUGAGGAAUACAUCGGAAUCUACUUUUUCGUGGGGGAUAACGUAGGGAAACUUACGCUAAUACCGCAUACGACCUACGGGUGAAAGCAGGGGAUCUUCGGACCUUGCGCGAUUGAAUGAGCCGAUGUCGGAUUAGCUAGUUGGCGGGGUAAAGGCCCACCAAGGCGACGAUCCGUAGCUGGUCUGAGAGGAUGAUCAGCCACACUGGAACUGAGACACGGUCCAGACUCCUACGGGAGGCAGCAGUGGGGAAUAUUGGACAAUGGGCGCAAGCCUGAUCCAGCCAUACCGCGUGGGUGAAGAAGGCCUUCGGGUUGUAAAGCCCUUUUGUUGGGAAAGAAAAGCAGCAGGUUAAUACCCCGCUGUUCUGACGGUACCCAAAGAAUAAGCACCGGCUAACUUCGUG